Rosa chinensis is the source of this 481-nucleotide long non-coding RNA. RefSeq lists it as uncharacterized. The transcript has 2 exons. The record is from RefSeq and is a predicted model, not a curated record. Lineage: Eukaryota; Viridiplantae; Streptophyta; Magnoliopsida; Rosales; Rosaceae.
AAUUCUAAUCUCCUCUUGUUCAGUCCGCCACUGCCCUCGGAAGCUUCGCCUGCGGUUUUGAUGUCGGCGUCCGAGCCGUUCUGGAUGCCGGCGCCUGCCCUAACCUCUUCUUGCUUUUAUCUCAUCCUGAUGACAAGAUUGUUGCAGGCAAAUGCCAAAGGGAUGGUCUCAGGGGGCCUUUUUAUUGGAUUAAGAACAGAAACACAGUCGAAGCUUUGGAUGACUCUUGUGAAGUGAAUAUAAAGAAAAAGUCUUCCUUUCUUUUGCAGAACAAAUAUUUUUCAUACGGGAUUAGAUAACCCAAAGCCAAGAGCACUAGCAAUAGCAGGGGAGAGGAAGCAGAUCAAGAGCAAUAUGACCAGCUUUGCUUUGUUCUUGUUAAUCUGCUUUCUGUGAGUAUUCUUUGAGUUUUUUUAUUUACACUGAAAUCAACUUGGAUUGUCUUUUAUCAAUAUAUAUGUACAUAGUUAUCAAGUCUUAA